Molecule: long non-coding RNA, 1994 nt
Filed under: Vigna radiata
Lineage: Eukaryota; Viridiplantae; Streptophyta; Magnoliopsida; Fabales; Fabaceae
Description: long non-coding RNA (VRAD_LNC017751)
Source: RNAcentral
ACCCCUAAACAACAUACAAAAUCACAUACAAACAAGUAAGAUAAAAUUCUACUCCGAAGGUGAGGCUUGUAGCUUUGGCUAGCAAGAAACACUCACCAGUCUAAGCUAAAUGUAAAGCAAACAAUUGCCAAGAGUUGAAGGAGCACCAAGGACUCUUCCAAAAACACUUGGACUUGGAAUGACCUUUUACACUUUAAAGAAAUCUAACACAGAAAACCUAACCAAAAUGAACAAAACAAUUACAAAAGAAAACUAACAAUUGCUACUGUCACGUUCUGAUUUCAUUUAAAUCCAAUUGUUGGACAGCUUUGGAACAUUUUGGAGUCUCCUUGCUUUUGGGUUCAACUUUCCGUUCUCAGCUUUGGUGCCUUGCUGCUGCUUAAAAAACUCAACUGCACCAAUUCUUUCUCUCGGCUUUACUGCAAUGGAUGUGGAGGACGGAUCCAAUUUUCCCACUGCUGCAACCAAUGUUAUACUGAUUUCCAAUUUACAUCUGCAUAGCUGUAAAGUGCCAAAAGAACAAAGACUCCAAGCACUUGCAAUUUCAAUUGAAUAGGAACAAUGUUAUUCGAGAUGAGUAAUUGAAAAUGGAGUGUAGUGGCCACUUUAGUAAACUGAUUCAAUGCAUAUUACAGUAUUGGCAAACUGAGUCAUUGUGAACUGGACAACAAAUUUGGCACACAGCUUUGGCUUCUCACAAGAAUAUUGCUGUAAUUGACCAGCUAACUAAACUCAAAGCUGCAAGGUGGAUUUUCUGUGCUGUAACCGUGAGCAAGCAAAGAAUUCUACUGUCAAGCAUUAUGCAGUUUGCUGUCACGUAAGAUACUUCCAGUAUUGAGAAUUCUGCUGCACUAGAAAGCCACCUCGCCUUGCGGUUUCCACCAAUUUCCCACUUCUUAGGAUGCUACCAAGAUGCAAAGCCAUCUGGAACUGAUCUACAACCACUACAACACUAACACGGAUCCAGAACCAACAAGGUUAAUGCAAAAAUUGAAUGAAUAUACUACUGCAGCAGAUGCAAUCAAAAACGCCCCACUGUGAUUAUCACAAACAAUUGGUGGGCAGAAUUCCAAACAAUUAAAAAAUCAAUCAAUUAAUCGGUGUUCAAUGAUAGGUGGAACUCAAAAGGAACUUAGGAAAGGUUCUAGAGUAGAUUUGAAAAGCAAGAAACAAGGAUAAGUUGCAGAGAUAUCCAAUUCAACUCAAUUAUGAUUUAUGCAAAAAAUGUUCGAAGAAAUGCCUCAAUGAAAUGCUGCUAACUAUGCAUCCAAUUGCAGAUUUAUGUUAUCUGGCACGAGUUUCAUUUGCUUUUUCUUAUUCAGCAUAUACUUAUGUUUUGAAUUAUGCUUUCAAUUCUUUUCUUUAAUGAUUGAAACCAUGCAUUUUGCUACCAAUGUUCAUACAAGAUGGAUGCACAAUUCACAGCAACAGCAACAUAAAACACUGCAACUUAUUCACAAGAAAUUUGGCUGAAAUAAGGCAACUGGAUUGGCUAUAUUUAGCAGACGGUGGUAUCUUUCGUAUUUGAAGCUUUCAGCAACUUUAAUUGGCCAAAUGUGACUUAUAUAAAUGGUCAANUGAAACAAUUAAGACGUGAAUCAAAAUUUGACACUGAGUUGCUAUUUCAAGCUAAAUCAUAACCAAUGCAUUAUGCAGAUUUCAGCACAGGAUUCAAAAGUGUUUGGAUCAGAGAUUUGGCACUUGGAGCAAGUUUGAAUUGCCAAAAAUAUCAGAUUAAAAUGGNUGUAAGGCACUGCAUACGGUCAGUUCAAAAUUUCACCACCUAGGUUGCUCAAUUCAACCAAAAAUCGGUCCAACACACUAGCCAAAAUGCAACAAAACAUUCAAACCGCUAUGAAACAAGUUUUGGUGACUCUAAACAGCAAAACAGAUUUAAACAAGACUCUAGAAUUGCAUUGAAAGAUGUCCAGAAAUGAAUUCUAUGUUGGACAGAUUAAAAAAAAAAAUAUGAAACCAGAUGCAAUGACUGCAGA